AUUUGUUAAUACUGCUAACAUAUUAUAUAGGAACACACUGUCAUCCAAGCAGCUCUCAAUAUCAUACAUGAGGCAUAGAUACUUUAACAUACAGAGAGAAAGGUAUUUUUGUUUAAUAUUAAUUUUAGUUGAUAUGACAUAAAAAUAAACAUAAUUGGACCACUAUAUCCAUCAAUCCCCCAAAUAAAUGUAAUUUAUGGUCUUGAUUAAGUUGUAAUUAUAUUGUAUUACAAAG
Pelobates cultripes (western spadefoot toad) is the source of this 235-nucleotide non-coding RNA. The record is from the annotation of a GenBank genome assembly. NCBI's taxonomy places the organism in Eukaryota, Metazoa, Chordata, Amphibia, Anura, Pelobatidae.